Molecule: ribosomal RNA, 491 nt
Filed under: uncultured bacterium
Lineage: Bacteria
Description: bacterial SSU rRNA
Rfam family: Bacterial small subunit ribosomal RNA
Source: RNAcentral
AAAGGAAUUGACGGGGCCCCGCACAAGCGGUGGAGUAUGUGGCUUAAUUCGAUGCAACGCGAAGAACCUUACCAGGAUUUGACAUGCAGGAGACAGGAGCUGAAAGGCUCUCUUCCUUCGGGACUGCUGCACAGGUGCUGCAUGGCUGUCGUCAGCUCGUGUCGUGAGAUGUUCGGUUAAGUCCGGCAACGAGCGCAACCCCUGUCCAUAGUUGCCAGCAUUCAGUUGGGGACUCUAUGGAGACUAACUCUUUUAAGAGUGGGAAGGUGGGGAUGACGUCAAGUCAGUAUGGCCCUUACAUCCUGGGCUGCACACGUACUACAAUGCUCGGUACAAUGGGUUCCAAUACCGCGAGGUUGAGGCAAUCCCCAAAGCCGAGCCCAGUUCAGAUUGGAGUCUGCAACCCGACUCCAUGAAGCCGGAAUCGCUAGUAAUGGCGCAUCAGCAACGGCGCCGUGAAUACGUUCCCGGGGCUUGCACACACCGCCCGU